UGUAGACACAUAUUGAUAUGCCUCUACCAUUCAGCAGUCAAAAUGAACUUCUGGAGAUAUUCAUCAGUUCUACCUGCCCUUGAGGAAGGCUGAAAAGAUCUUUUAGGUUCUCCUCAGGCUUCAAGCAGAAGGUGAAAUUCCUGCGUGAAAGCCACUCUCCCUAUACAAGAAAGAAGGCAACAUCCUUAUCUUCAAGGACAAGAAGUCAAGGCUCAGGGCUGAGACAACACUGCACAGACCUUGUUGGAAUAACUCAUCUUUUCAGUCUCUCACAUAAUUUAGUUGCCUCUUCACAGCAUACUACUCUGUGUCCAAUUCAGUAAACAGUACCCUUAACUUCUUCUUUGGUCUUCACUUCUUUAUGAAGGCUUCUAUGCCACAUAAAAUUUGCAUUACAUAAGUGUGUAUGCAUUUCUCCUGUUGGUCUGUCUUAUGUCAAUUUAAUUCUCAAGCCCAGCCAAAAGAAACCCUAAAGGGGAAGCUCGCCUACAAUAGCCUUUCCUUCUGAGCUCAUUUGGCAGCAGCUAAUUAGGAUAUUGCCUUAUUUGUUCUCUAUCUGCCCCCAGCGGCAACAGGCUGAGAAAGUGAAACUCUUACUCCUGGUUACUGCAGAAAGGGGAAAUAGAGGAUGAACUGGGAAUGGUGCAAUUCAUAGAGAAAUUCAACUUAAUAAAGGGCUAAACAGUCACGUGUACACAAGAAGCAAACAGUUACUAUGAAUUAAUUGAUUCAAGCAUAAGACAAGAGGGAGUCACAGAAACUGCAAAUUAGAAAAGAAUACAGUUGGUCACUGAAGGCAUUUAAAUUUAAAGGAAAAUAAUUACGAGGUUCAAAACAGACAAACAAAUGAAAAACAACAAUAACAAAAUGUGUAUCUGUGGCCAGAUAAAUUCCAUGGGCCCCCAAUUAGUUUCUUCUUUAUUAAAAAGACAGAAUAAGUCAUAGACAAGAUGAGCACCUGGCUUUAUAAAUGAAUUAAUGUAGUAAAUAUACUGAAGGAAAGCAUAUGCCAGUAAUAGAAAGAAUAAAAAUCAAACAAAAAUUUAAGUCAGAGAGGCAAGUAUUUGUAAGGGCUAGCCAAUUUCCUAACUCUAUGGGAGAGGUAACUACAAAAAUUAUUCCUAAAACCUGAUUUUUCUCAGGCCUUGAAAAUUUGCAGGCUCCUAAAGUUUAAAGCACAUUUUAGGAAACGCUGUGUAACAC
This 1203-nucleotide long non-coding RNA is filed under the name Homo sapiens (human). RNAcentral's name for it is "HSALNT0072906". Lineage: Eukaryota; Metazoa; Chordata; Mammalia; Primates; Hominidae. The record is from RNAcentral.